AUGACCUUCAUCAUCAUCUUCAUCUGGACUCUCACAGCGUUUGCUCAAGAGUGUAGAGGACAGAUCACCGUCACUCAGAGUCCCUCAAUAACAGCAGAACAACCAGGAGGAACUGUCAAUAUCAAAUGUAAAACCAGCACAGAUGUGUACAGAUGGGAUGAUGGGGAUGAAAGUUUAUUCUGGUACUUACAGAAACCUGGAGAAGCUCCUAAACUCCUGAUUCGUUACGUAAAAACCCUCGAGUCAGAAACUCCAUCUAGAUUCAGUGGCAGUGGAUCUAACAGUGAUUUCACUCUGAGCAUCAGUGGAGUCCAGACUGAAGAUGCUGGACAUUAUUACUGUCAGAGUUUCCACUGCAGAACAGAUUCUGAUAAUGAUUGUGUGGGUGAUCGUGUGUUCACACAGUGA
Molecule: non-coding RNA, 408 nt
Organism: Pimephales promelas (fathead minnow)
Lineage: Eukaryota; Metazoa; Chordata; Actinopteri; Cypriniformes; Leuciscidae
Source: the annotation of a RefSeq genome assembly